GCUUCCCUGUGGUGCUCGAGUAUAAAAUCAAUUCUUGAGCCAACAUUAACCAACGGGAUCGAAACUGGCUGUGGUGAGCAAGCCUCCGUCGGAGGAAGCCUGAAACAGUUCACGGAGAACCCACCUGUCCUUGGCAGGUUCAAAAACUGAUUUUGGCACGGUACACACGGGGAAGCA
Molecule: non-coding RNA, 177 nt
Filed under: Nitrospina gracilis 3/211
Lineage: Bacteria; Pseudomonadati; Nitrospinota; Nitrospinia; Nitrospinales; Nitrospinaceae
Also listed under: 1 other name
Description: 6S / SsrS RNA
Rfam family: 6S / SsrS RNA
About the family: E. coli 6S RNA was the first non coding RNA to be sequenced, but its function was unknown until recently.
Source: Rfam by way of RNAcentral